UAUAGGUUUGGUCCCGGCCUUCCCAUUAGCCCCCAAUAGACUUACACAUGCAAGCAUCUACGCCCCGGUGAAAAUGCCCUUCAAGUUAACCAAACUAAAAGGAGCUGGUAUCAAGCGCACAUCCGUAGCUAACGACACCUUGCUUAACCACACCCCCACGGGAGACAGCAGUGAUAAAAAUUAAGCUAUGAACGUAAGUUUGACUAAGUUAUAUUGAUUAGGGUCGGUAAAUUUCGUGCCAGCCACCGCGGUCAUACGAUUAACCCAAGUUAAUAGGAAUACGGCGUAAAGCGUGUCAAAGCAUUUCACCAAAUACAGUUAAAUUCUAAUUAAGCCGUAAAAAGCCACAAUUAUAAUGAAAAUAGAUAACGAAAGUAGCUCUACAACC
This 388-nucleotide ribosomal RNA is filed under the name Giraffa camelopardalis (giraffe). RNAcentral's name for it is "partial 12S ribosomal RNA". The record is from RNAcentral. Lineage: Eukaryota; Metazoa; Chordata; Mammalia; Artiodactyla; Giraffidae.